UGAAGAGGAUUAUGCAAAAUAUUAAGAGAUUGAGUUAUUGAAACGAGUCUGCUUAUUAAUUAGUAAGAUCAUGGUAGGAUCAGUACAGCUUCCAUGCAAUCGCCUCGUUCUUGUGGCUUUUAUCAUGCUUUGCUUGUUCUCGGUAUCAGCCACAGCACGCAGUUUACGAGUGGCUAGUACUAAUGAAUCGCUGACGAGUCAUGAUAAUCAUCAGUCCUCACCAAAAGAAGAUAGGGUGGCCGUGGCAGACGCUGAAGAUUUAGUGUCUGUGGAUUACACUCCGGCAACAAGGAAGCCUCCGAUACAUAACUAAUAAUUUUAAAAUAUUUAAAUAGUUAAAAAGCUUUGAUCGGUACUUCAGUUACUUAUUAAUCCUCAUUUAGUUUAAGCGCAUAUAUAUAUAUAUAUAUAUAUAUAUAUAUCUAGUUGAGUCUGGAGAAAUAGCUAGGGAAACUGCAGUGAUUUAAAAACAUGGCAUGCAACAUAUAUGAUGCUUUGGUCUAUCAUGGACCUUCUGUAAACUAGGGUUUCGGAAAGGUUUAUAGCUAGAGAAAAGCUGACUGUUACAUGCCACACAGAUCCCACACAGAUCAUGUGUUACUUUUGUAUAAGCAUAAUCAAUAUAUGGAUAUUGUAUGUGAUUCUAAA
Long non-coding RNA from Carya illinoinensis, 648 nucleotides. RefSeq lists it as uncharacterized. NCBI's taxonomy places the organism in Eukaryota, Viridiplantae, Streptophyta, Magnoliopsida, Fagales, Juglandaceae. The record is from RefSeq and is a predicted model, not a curated record. The transcript has 2 exons.